Long non-coding RNA from Quercus lobata, 1848 nucleotides. RefSeq lists it as uncharacterized. Lineage: Eukaryota; Viridiplantae; Streptophyta; Magnoliopsida; Fagales; Fagaceae. The transcript has 8 exons. The record is from RefSeq and is a predicted model, not a curated record.
UAGGAUUGUCCGUAACUUUCCUACUUCCUUUUGUUACUGGAAAUCAUGAUACUUCUUUGUCUCUGGAUCCGGAUGGGAAACCAUGAUCGAUGACCUGUGGGGUAAGGUCUUGUGGUUGCUAAGGAAAUGGGAAAUUCCCUCACUUGUUUCUGAUCAUCCUACGUUAAAGGAGCGUUACCAAGGGCUAAUUGAAGCUGCUCUCAAGUUUGCCCUCACCAUUGACAACUUCGACGAUCUCGUGGAUCCUCAUCAUUUGUACGAUUGUUGUUUUGGACCUGAACCUUCGGCAUUUGUCUUAAAAAAGAUCGCUCGUGAAGAGAAAAAAAUGUCCACCUCGUACAGUAAGGAUAAGUAUGCUCGUGUGAAGAGUUUGAAGAACGAACCUUUAUCGUUGCUCACUCCUAGAUCAUAGAAGCGUAAGUUGGAAGAGGGAAAGGACGAAACCCCUGCCCCCACGCCUUCUCUUGAGAUGAUGACCUUCUACAAAGAGAGAUUACCUACUUUGAACAAUAGUAAUGCUGAUAAUAUUAGAAACGACGAUGUUCAAGUUGGUUUCAGCCAAAUAGGUAAUCAACAUCGAAGGAGUAUUCGUAGAAUAAGGAAUGAAUUAAAUAGCCUUAGCUGGCAACCAAGGUCAUUGCCGUGGCGGAGAUCUUUUGGAGCCAGGAUCUGUGUCUCUUGAUGUUAUUGCUGAAAGAAAACUUCAAUGGCGUGCCAGCAUUUAUAGCCGACGUUUGCGGGCUGUUUCUUCACCUUCCCAAAAUUGCCGUGAGCAGAAUGUAUCAGGAAAUAUUGGUGCAAAGGAAAGAAUAGUGCAAGGAAUAGGACCAUGGAUUUGGAGGGAGCUACAGGCUAUCCUUGGGGACCCAGAUCCAUCUGUUAUUGUUCAUGUAGCCUUCUCACUUUUCAUUGCAAGCCUUGAAAACAAUAUUAGUGUCCAUUCGGAACAGCUUAAUGUUGAAGAUGAAUCCAUUGCUCCUUUGCAUCGUUUCUUGGAUGACAGAACCAGUAUAUUUGGCAUGAAUUAAGUUGGGAAAGAAUUUUUGGCUGUCUGAACAAGAAAUUUAGUUGAUCACUAUGUUGGCAAGCCUGGCAUCCUUGCAAUUUUGUGCAGCGUUAGUAAAAAGAGUUAGCAGCGGUCUACAUUAGCACACUACUAGCAGUCUAGCACUCCACUACACUAAUUGAGAUGUUUUGCAGAGAGUUCAUUAAACAUGGAGACAUAUGAUGUGGUAGUUGAAUAUGAGUAGUUGGGUUGAGCACGGAAAAAGGCUUAUCAGUUUGUCUUAAUUAUCAACAACCUUUUCCUUUAUUUCACCUGAUGAUGCCAUGUUGGAAACUUGAGGUACCCCUUCUUUCUAAACUUGCCUUCUGGUUUAAAGAAGUCGGUCUUCUCACCAAGGUUCCAGGAGCUGCUUUCAUGUAUAUUACGUGAGGUAGCUUAGCUUGGCUACUGGAAGCAAAAAUAAUAUAUAUAUAUAUAUAUAUAUAUAUAUGGAGUUGACAUGGAUUUAAGCCCAAAUCAUGCUUGUGAUGAAGCAUGGAUAAAAGAUUGCUGCGACAAGGGCUGAUCUGAUAAUGAGACUGACAUUUUUCUGUAAGAAGAUGUUGGUUUGGGAGAGGUGCUGGUUUGCUUUGGGGCAGCCAAAGAUUAUUGACGCAAUGGUUUUGAGCAUUGAAGUGGCUUAGAUAUCUCAAUUUCACAAUUUUCCAAAGCCCCAAAGAUUAUCAAGGCAAUAGUUUUGAGCCUUGAAGUGGCUUAGAUCUUUGAAUUUCAUAAUUUUUCAAAGCAUCAUCAAAAUCGAAGGUGUUAUGUUGUGUCGUAAAUUAGUCAUUUUUCAGAAUUCA